CCAGGCAGACCUUUGCUCAGAGAUCAGCACCCGACAGGGGCCUCUGGCCUCAGUGAGACCUCAUGAACAACCUGUGGCCCUCUACAUCCUUACAGAUCCCCAACAAAGGUCUAAGUGAAUCCUUUCACACCUAAACCAUCCCUCCCAACUCUAAACCUCAAGGAGGGACAGGAUCAACUUUAACCCCAAAUCCAUCUGACUCUCCAGCCUUUGGUGUCAGGCCAAGCCUUGAUUGGUCACUCUUUUGACUCUGAGGCUCACAGUGAAUCUGAGGAGAGCUGCCUUCUCUUUGACCUGAGAUCUCUAUCUUCCUGACACCAGCUCUGUGGGGCACAUCCUUAGUUCUAAGCCAGCCCAUCAUAGAUCUGCUGCCUGUUCAGGCCAUUGGAUCUCAUCCUCCUCCUCUGACUAUGUGCUCCGUGAGCAGAAGACCAAGGUCUGACCCAGCAGGGAGCCUGGAGCCAGAGGGAAUGUCCCAUGGGAGCUGCAGACCUCCAGCCCAGGUAACUGGGGAAAAAUAAAAUACUAAAUAUGAAUACUAUGAAAAGAAAAUGCAGUCAGAAGGAGACUCACAUGUGACAAACAAGGAGGCCUAUGUUACUGCAUCCUGAGUACAUGGAAAGGACUGAGAUAAAGAAACUGAGGCAAAUAGAGGAAUUGUGACUUGCCUACUGUCACCCAGGCAGAAAGUGUCUGUGCCUGGAUUUCAACUCAACUCUUUCUGACUCCAGACAUAGUGCAUUGUGCCACCCGGCUGCCUCAUGGUGGAAGAUAACUUUGCACCAGAGUGGAUGCUUCAAAUAGAGGAGAGAGGAGGAUAACAGACUUUUCAGACAGUGUUCCAGCGAGUCAUCUGGGAACAAUAUGGAUAGAAGAAUAGGUGGGCUGAGGAAUGGGGAUCAGGACACUCCAAUGACCAAUUACUAGUGUUGAUCUCACUCUG
Molecule: non-coding RNA, 943 nt
Organism: Phascolarctos cinereus (koala)
Lineage: Eukaryota; Metazoa; Chordata; Mammalia; Diprotodontia; Phascolarctidae
Source: RefSeq, a predicted model, not a curated record